This is a long non-coding RNA of Serinus canaria (Common canary), 1873 nucleotides long. RefSeq lists it as uncharacterized. NCBI's taxonomy places the organism in Eukaryota, Metazoa, Chordata, Aves, Passeriformes, Fringillidae. The record is from RefSeq and is a predicted model, not a curated record. The transcript has 2 exons.
CGGAGCGGCGGUACCGGGCAGCGGGGGCGCGCAGAGCUCGGUGGGGCCGGGCGGAGCGGCGGUACCGGGCAGCGGGGGCGCGCAGAGCUCGGUGGGGCCGGGCGGAGCGGCGGCACCGGGCAGCGGGGGCGCGCAGAGCUCGGUGGGGCCGGGCGGAGCGGAGGCACCGGGCAGCGGGGGCGCGCAGCGCUCGGUGCGGCCGGGCGGAGCGGAGGCACCGGGCAGCGGGGGCGCGCAGAGCUCGGUGGGGCCGGGCGGAGCGGAGGCACCAGAGGUGCGCAGAGCUCGGUGGGGCCGGGCGGAGCGGAGGCACCGGGCAGCGGGGGCGCGCAGCGCUCGGUGCGGCCGGAACGCGGCGCGCCCGUGCCCCGGCCCUGCUCCGCAGAGACGCCGCCCGUGCCGCCCCUCCCGCUUCCCCAGCCGUGGCAGGGGAGCUUUCGCGGAAGCGGCCGCGUAAGAAAAUGUUACCUUGCGAAGCAAUCGUCUUCAUUAAACAGUCCUUAAUUUUCUUCUAGCAGCCGUGGUGCAAGCCGGCACUGAGCUGGUUUUAACAAGUCUUUGUUAUUUCAUCACAAUCCUCAUUUAAGGUUUGUGACAUCCAAGUGCUUUCAGAGGGAAGCAAAUACAGUUAUGAAAACUGUAAGUUUGUGUUACUUCCCAGGCACCGGCAGCUCAAGCCAGCUGUCCAUGCCCUGGUAUGGCUUGGCUGACACCUUUACCUGCCUUGCUGCUUCUUUAGCAAGACAUUCCACUCACAUUACUCAGAAACACCCUCAGCUGUACAACACCUUUCCCACAGCAUUAGCCUCUCCCUACUUCCACAUGGUGCAACUUAAUGCUGCAUGUUCUAGCUUACAUUCAAGGGAACUUCUGUCCUUUGUUCCAGAGGGUGGGGAAUUUUUUUUUUUUCCUUGUUUGGCUUUGGUUUGUUGGUUCAGGGCAGGUUUUUUCCUAAUAAAUGCUUUACAGACAUAAAACAGUAUUUUCCCUUCAUUUUACCUCUUCUGGUUUAUUUAGGUCAAUAGAUACAACAGUAAGGUAAGCCAUUAUUACAUUCACUAGCCCUUGAUUACAAUGACUAACAGAAGUUCUGAUCCAUCCUAUCGCAUUUUCAAGAUAGCUUAACUUCCUUAUUUCUAGGAUGGGUUUUGCAGCCAAUAAAUCUUAUGUAUAAGACAACUACUGCAUUUCAUUUCCCCCUUUAUUUUUGCUAUCAUCAGCUGCCUGUAAGUACUUAAUUUUAGGGCAGGAAACUAAUACAGCUCUUUACAAUAUCAUCACUAAUUUUUAGGGUUUUUUUAUAAAUUACUACUUAGCAUUUUAGAAGAGUCAUAAAACCAAUUCAGGGAAGGGGAGAGGGAAAAUAGGCAAAAUUAAUAAUCAAAAGUCACACUCUCAUCCCACCCCACUGGGAUUUUGUUUUCCCUGUUAGAUGAAUCAGAAAGAAGAACUCUCCACACUGUAGUCUUACAUGUGCCACUCUAAUUACACAGAACUUCCAUCACAAGUAAGGAUUUUGUGCUAUGUUCAGAACUGCACAGGCAGUAUCUGAAUCAACUCUCCAAAGCCCAGUUUCUGAGAUGGGGGCAGAGACACGAACUGCAUGGAAAGAGUUAUAACCUCAUGCAGAUUAAAGUGUAAGUUCAGUAGGAACUGCAUUUCAACACUGUGCUAGAUCCAUCACUUAACUGCACUUGCUCAUUUUAUGCCCUUCUGAGUAGAGUGUUCCCCAGCAGCUUCAGCAGAAGUCUCACCCCAGUGCUGAGUACAAACACAAAGUCGUUUGAAGGUCCUGCUUUAAUUUACAGUUGGUCCAUCAGUGCCAUGUCACUCCUUUCAGUUAACUGAAAACAAAGACAGAUCCAUAGUUCAA